CAGAGCAUUGAGAUGAGGCGUGAAACCAUUAUCCGCAGCCUUAUACUGUACCUUGGUGAGAAGGAAGAGGAACUUUUUGAAGACUGCUUGGAGGACAGCCGGAGUGAUGUCAGUAACCACAUCCUCAAAAUACUCGUCGUCCAUGGUGCUGAUGAGGAUCCAGUCGAUGUCUCCAUCCUUGUUGAAGGCCAUGAGAUUUUGCCAGGGUGCAACAGUACUGCGAAAGCUUGCUCACUGCUCAUGGGACUGAUUUAUGCCCUUAACUUGGCAUACCCUCCCACUUUGCGCUACACUUUUGAAGUUUCCAAAAACUCUUGCUGGAGCUGGAUGGCUUUAAACUGUCCCCAAAAGUAAACACCCUGAAGUUGAAGUUGCUUUCCUAAAUGCAUGUCAUGACUUUGUCAUCCUAGAGGAGAAAUGUGGCAUCAUGCAUGGACCCUUGUUGAGGACGUAGCAUCAUGCAUAUGGACCCUUGUGAAGAAAUGCCAAAAAUUAGAGUUCCAGUUCAUCUUCGUUUACCAGUGGGAAGUUGCCUGUCAUAUAUGUUUUACUUUGUUUGUCAAAUAAGGUAUCUGUUAAUUACAGUAAAGAUUUUAUCCUCAUCUAGAAUGUUUAGACACUUUGAGCUGUUCAUUGUUAAUUGAACCUGUUGUUAUUUCUUGAAUGUUUUAAUUGCAUUCUUAAAAGUGCAGAAAGGUGAUAAUUCGACGUUUAUUACUGAAGUUGUGGUUGAUGGUGCUGGUCUACCAUUAUAGAGCAUUAUAUUGACAGUGUUCCUAA
Molecule: long non-coding RNA, 780 nt
Organism: Solea solea (common sole)
Lineage: Eukaryota; Metazoa; Chordata; Actinopteri; Pleuronectiformes; Soleidae
Exons: 2
Source: RefSeq, a predicted model, not a curated record